UACGUAGGGGGCAAGCGUUGUCCGGAAUCACUGGGCGUAAAGCGCGCGCAGGCGGUCAUCUACGUCGGGGGUGAAAGCCCGGAGCUCAACUCCGGGAUUGCCUUGGAUACGGGAUGACUUGGGGAUAGGAGAGGCAAGGGGAAUUCCACGUGUAGCGGUGAAAUGCGUAGAUAUCGAGAGGAACACCUGCGGCGAAGGCGGGUUGCUGGGCUGACACUGACGCUGAUGCGCGAAAGCUAGGGGAGCGAACGGG
RNAcentral lists this ribosomal RNA (253 nucleotides) under uncultured bacterium. Its description in RNAcentral is "partial 16S ribosomal RNA". It matches the Rfam family "Bacterial small subunit ribosomal RNA", at positions 524 to 776 of the family's 1533-position model. The record is from RNAcentral.